RNAcentral lists this ribosomal RNA (115 nucleotides) under Alphaproteobacteria bacterium. Lineage: Bacteria; Pseudomonadati; Pseudomonadota; Alphaproteobacteria. The record is from RNAcentral.
ACUGGUGGUAAUAGCAAGAGUGUCCCACCCGAUCCCAUUCCGAACUCGGACGUUAAACCUCUUAUCGCCUAUGGUACUUUGUCUUAAGACACGGGAGAGUCGGUAGCUGCCAGUU